RNAcentral lists this ribosomal RNA (253 nucleotides) under uncultured bacterium. RNAcentral describes it as "partial 16S ribosomal RNA". It matches the Rfam family "Bacterial small subunit ribosomal RNA", at positions 524 to 776 of the family's 1533-position model. The record is from RNAcentral.
UACAGAGGUCUCAAGCGUUGUUCGGAUUCAUUGGGCGUAAAGGGUGCGUAGGCGGCGCGGUAAGUCGGGUGUGAAAUCUCGGGGCUUAACUCCGAAACUGCAUUCGAUACUGCCGUGCUUGAGGACUGGAGAGGAGACUGGAAUUUACGGUGUAGCGGUGAAAUGCGUAGAUAUCGUAAGGAAGACCAGUGGCGAAGGCGGGUCUCUGGACAGUUCCUGACGCUGAGGAGCGAAAGCGUGGGGAGCGAACAGG